UUCUUCUGUAGGUAACGUCACAGAUAUAGCGUAUUAAACUACUACCUUUCCUCCCUACUGAAAGUGCUUUACAACCCGAAGGCCUUCUUCACACACGCGGCAUGGCUGCAUCAGGGUUUCCCCCAUUGUGCAAUAUUCCCCACUGCUGCAUCCCGUAGGAGUA
RNAcentral lists this ribosomal RNA (163 nucleotides) under uncultured Gammaproteobacteria bacterium. Its description in RNAcentral is "partial 16S ribosomal RNA". The record is from RNAcentral. Lineage: Bacteria; Pseudomonadati; Pseudomonadota; Gammaproteobacteria.